GAUGAACGCUGGCGGCGUGCCUAAUACAUGCAAGUCGAGCGAACGGACGAGAAGCUUGCUUCUCUGAUGUUAGCGGCGGACGGGUGAGUAACACGUGGAUAACCUACCUAUAAGACUGGGAUAACUUCGGGAAACCGGAGCUAAUACCGGAUAAUAUUUUGAACAGCAUGGUUCAAAAGUGAAAGACGGUCUUGCUGUCACUUAUAGAUGGAUCCGCGCUGCAUUAGCUAGUUGGUAAGGUAACGGCUUACCAAGGCAACGACGCAUAGCCGACCUGAGAGGGUGAUCGGCCACACUGGAACUGAGACACGGUCCAGACUCCUACGGGAGGCAGCAGUAGGGAAUCUUCCGCAAUGGGCGAAAGCCUGACGGAGCAACGCCGCGUGAGUGAUGAAGGUCUUCGGAUCGUAAAACUCUGUUAUUAGGGAAGAACAUAUGUGUAAGUAACUGUGCACAUCUUGACGGUACCUAAUCAGAAAGCCACGGCUAACUACGUG
This 497-nucleotide ribosomal RNA is filed under the name uncultured bacterium. Its description in RNAcentral is "partial 16S ribosomal RNA". It matches the Rfam family "Bacterial small subunit ribosomal RNA", at positions 28 to 507 of the family's 1533-position model. The record is from RNAcentral.